This is a non-coding RNA of Erythranthe guttata (spotted monkey flower), 570 nucleotides long. The record is from RefSeq and is a predicted model, not a curated record. NCBI's taxonomy places the organism in Eukaryota, Viridiplantae, Streptophyta, Magnoliopsida, Lamiales, Phrymaceae.
UUCCCAAUUUGGAUAAUCGUACCAAUUGUUAUGAUUUUUCAAAGAAAUUCUGGAAACAAAUGUUUUAAACCUUUGUUUCGAGAACUCGUCAAACAAACACGAGUCAACUCUUGGUUUCAUGUUUCCUUAUGAUAAAUUCAUUGGACUUGGUUUCUCAUAAACUUGAAUCCCUGUUUUCAUCUCUUAUGUAGGUUAUAACUUAUAAAUGCCAAAUUUGCAGUUGAGGCUAAAGUUUAGUUGGUGGCUCUACUGAUAAGGCACCCAAUUUCAGGCACCCGUAGAGAGGCAGAGGCAGUUGAAGCUAACGAUAUUACUUCAAUCAAGUUCCAGAUGUGAAUGUUGUCAGCGGUUUUAAGUUCAAUUUAAUCGGCGAGGCAGUGUUUGGUUUCUUUGGUUGCUACUGUAUAUAGAUUGAUCACUGAUUUAAUUCACUUGUCAACAAUUAAUUAGUUAGGUGCUAAUAUGUAGUAACCAGCUAUCAAUUCAAUUUUUUUUCCUUACAAUUAUUAUUUGGUUUUUGUCAUUAGUAGCAAUAACAAUUGUUUUUCGUUCAUUAUUUGAUUGUUUUGC